CAACUCGCCCUUUGGAAAGAAGACUGCACGUUGUGCCUUUCAGCUCUAGGGCAAUGUAGAAUACCAGAGCAGAAGUUCUACUUCAGCCAGAUCAGGCCUGCAAAGAAACUGCUUUUCACAGGUCUUUGUAAGAGAUGUUCCCGGUAGGCUGUAAGAGCACUGUGCAGAGCGAGUUCUUUCUUAGCUUCCCAAAGAGCUGGAAGCAAGGUGGUUUCUGGCCCAACUUGCCCUUUGGAAAGAAGACUGCACGUCUUGCCUUUCAGCUCUAGGGCAAUGUAGAACACCCAGAGCAGAAGUUCUACUUCAGCCAGAUCAGGCCUGCAAAGAAACUGCGUUUCACAGGCCUUUGUAAGAGAUGUCCCAGUAGGCUGUAAGAGCACUCUGCAGAGCGAGUUGUUAUUAAGCUUCCCAAAGAGAUGGAAGCAAGAUGCUUUGGGGUCCAGCUCGCCCUUUGGAAAAAAGACUGCACUUUCUGCCUUGCAGCUCUAGGCAAAUGUGGCACAACCAGAGCAGAAGUUCUACUUCAGCCAGAUCAGGCCUGCAAAGAAACUGCGUUUCACAGGCCUUUGUAAGAGAUGUUCCCGGUAGGCUGUAAGAGCGUUGUGCAGAGUGACUUGAUUCUUAGCUUCCCAAAGAGCUGGAAGAAAGAUGCUCUGGGGACCACCUCGCCGUUUGCAAAGAAGACAGCACUUUGUGACUUGCAGCUCUAGGGCAAUGUAGCACACCCAGAGCAGAAGUUCUACUUCAGCCAGAUCAGGCCUGCAAAGAAAUUGCGUUUCACAGGCCUUUGUCAGAGAUGUCCCGGUAGGCUGUAAGAGCACUGUGCAGAGCGAGAUGUUAUUACGCUUCCCAAAGAGCUGGAAGCAAGAUGCUUUGGGGCCCAACUCGCCCUUUGGAAAGAAGCCUGCACGUUGUGCCUUGCAGCACUAGGGCAAUGUAGGACACCCAGAGCAGAAGUUCUACUUCAGCCAGAUCAGGCCUGCAAAGAAACUGCAUUUCACAGGCCUUUGUAAGAGAUGUUCCUGGUAGGCUGUAAGAGCACUGUGGAGAGCGAGUUGUUUCUUAGAUUCCCACCACCUUGGAACUUCUACUCAAAGCCAUGACCUACAUUGCUCCAGAGGUGCAAGUGACAAAGCUAUGAGUCAUUGCCUCCAAAGGAGACAAGCCACAAACAGUCUUGCUUCCAGCUCUGGGAAGCUAAGAAACAACUGGCUCUCCAUAGUGCUCUUAUAUCUACCGGGAACAUAUCUCACAAAGGCCUGUGAAAUGCAGUUUCUUUCCAGCCCUGAUAUCACUGAAGUAGAAAUUCUGCUCUGCCGUGUCCUACAUUGCCCUAGACAUGCAAGGCACAAUUUCCUGGCUUGUUUCCUCAAGGGAAGGCAGGCCACAAAGCGUCUUGCUUCCACUCACUGGGAAGCUAAGAAACAACUCGCUCUCCACAGUUCUCUUGCAGCCGACCAGGAACAUCUCUCUCAGGGGCCUGUGAAACACAGUUUCUUCUCAGACCUGAUCUCUCUGAAGAAGAACUUCGGCUCUUCCGUGUCCUACAUUGCUCUAGAUAGGCAAAGCACAAAGCCCUGCCUAUUUUCCUCAAGGGGAGACAGGACACAUAAGUCUUGCUGCCAGCUCUUUGGGAAGCUAAGAAACAACUCGCUCUCCAAGGUGCUCUUGCAGCCUACCUGG
Long non-coding RNA from Equus caballus (horse), 1683 nucleotides. The record is from Ensembl. NCBI's taxonomy places the organism in Eukaryota, Metazoa, Chordata, Mammalia, Perissodactyla, Equidae.